Long non-coding RNA from Triticum aestivum (bread wheat), 666 nucleotides. RefSeq lists it as uncharacterized. Lineage: Eukaryota; Viridiplantae; Streptophyta; Magnoliopsida; Poales; Poaceae. The record is from RefSeq and is a predicted model, not a curated record. The transcript has 3 exons.
UGGCGGUUCGAUGUGAUCCUUGCCCCUUCUCUUCCUCGUCCCGCCGGCCUCAUUCUCUGUUACUCUCCCGUUGGCCGUGGCGCCAGGUCGCGGCGGAGGAUCUGGAGCUGAGCCCACGCAGUUGAGGUUGAGGAAGACGGAGGUGAGGGAAGCAGCAACAAGACUGCUGGAUGGUGACGGGUCUUCGUCCCACAGUCCGCUGCUCCUUGUCUGCGCCGUUUCAACUCCAGCUGCAACAAUGCGUCUCCAUGAUCCUUCCCCUCCUCCGGCUUCUCUCCUUCCAUAGCUACUUAUGCUGCAAUAGUUUCAGUGCAAGUAUAGUCAGGACAGGGAGGCAGAAGAGAGGACAUGCUGAAGAAUGAAGGUGGACAAACCAGGUGCACAUGAACAGCAAGGCAUGUUUGGCGUCGUACUUGACCGUGCUACAGAACAACAUCUUGUGGUUCUACCCAAGGGUUGACGCCGAGCACCGGGGCGUACUGCAGGAGUAGCGCCAUGCGUCCUUUGUCAACGUCCAUAGCAUCAAGGACCUCCUCACGCCCCUGUGCAGAUGGCGCUCGCUCGUGAUCACAGGAAACCGAACGACGCAUGUGCCCGUUGUCUGUCAGCGCCGACAAGGUUGGUUCUAUGUUAAGGCCCUGCUUCCUCACGUAAGAGGGCAUGAUU